This 484-nucleotide ribosomal RNA is filed under the name uncultured bacterium. RNAcentral describes it as "partial 16S ribosomal RNA". It matches the Rfam family "Bacterial small subunit ribosomal RNA", at positions 30 to 507 of the family's 1533-position model. The record is from RNAcentral.
AUUGAACGCUGGCGGCAUGCUUUACACAUGCAAGUCGAACGGUAACAGGGUGCUUGCACCGCUGACGAGUGGCGAACGGGUGAGUAAUGCAUCGGAAUGUACCGUGUAAUGGGGGAUAGCUCGGCGAAAGCCGGAUUAAUACCGCAUACGCCCUGAGGGGGAAAGUGGGGGACCGAAAGGCCUCACGUUAUACGAGCAGCCGAUGUCUGAUUAGCUAGUUGGUGAGGUAAAGGCUCACCAAGGCGUCGAUCAGUAGCGGGUCUGAGAGGAUGAUCCGCCACACUGGGACUGGGACACGGCCCAGACUCCUACGGGAGGCAGCAGUGGGGAAUUUUGGACAAUGGGCGCAAACCUGAUCCAGCCAUGCCGCGUGUCUGAAGAAGGCCUUCGGGUUGUAAAGGACUUUUGUCCGGGAGCAAAUCCUAGUGGUUAAUACCUACUGGGGCUGAGAGUACCGGAAGAAUAAGCACCGGCUAACUACGUG